This 1419-nucleotide transfer RNA is filed under the name Kluyveromyces marxianus. Its description in RNAcentral is "tRNA-Gly". Lineage: Eukaryota; Fungi; Ascomycota; Saccharomycetes; Saccharomycetales; Saccharomycetaceae. The record is from RNAcentral.
UUAGAAGACACCUUCUUCUUUCAAUUGCUUAGAAAGCUCAGUAACAGACUUCACAAGUUUUUCAACGAUUUCGUCUACAUCGGCUUCGGUGAUGAUGAAGGAUGGAGCCAAGAGAAUACGGUCACUGCAGCUUUUAGUUGGAGUUGUUCCCAUUGCCAUGACGUUCAAGCCAUUUUGGAAGCAUUGUUCCUUAAUUCUGUUGGCAAUGCCUAAGGAUGGGUCGAAUGCUUCCUUUGUGUCUCUGUUAGAAACCAGUUCUACAGACCAGAAACCACCAAUACCUCUAACAUCACCUGCUAUGUUGUCUUCAGAUAGCAAUGCUUGCUUCAAUUUCUCACCCAUCAAGUUACCCAUCUUGAAGACAUUGGCAGUUAGGUUUUCCUUAGCAAUUUUUUGUUGGAUACCCAAGGCCACGGCACAGUUGAAAGCAUGGGAAGAGUAGGUGUGGCCACCGACAAUGGUGCCAGAACCCUUCACGUAAGCUUCCUUGAUCUUUGGGCCAAUCAAGAUACCUGCGAUAGUAACGUAACCAGAACCCAAGGUCUUACCAACAGUUUGGAUAUCUGGGCCGUCUUCAGGGGCCAAGAAAUUUUCCCAGCAGUUCAACUUUCCGUUAGGGUUGCUUCUACCAGUACCACACAUAACUUCAUCCAAGUAAAAGAUGAUGUCAUACUUGUUACACAAGUCCCUAAUACCCUUCAAGUAACCCUUUGGUGGUGGAGUAGUACCUAAGGAAGAACCUGGCAAGGUUUCCACGAUAAUAGCAGCUAUGGUGUCUGGAUCUUCGGUAAUGAUCUGCUCUUCAAUGGUCUUCAAAAGACGCUUAGAAUAGUCUUCCUCAGUCUCACCCUUUAGUUUGUUACGGUAUGUGUAUGCGCUUGGCAUUGUCAAACAAAUAUUCUUUUGGUCCAUGAAGUAGUCCUUGUAAGCGGUAAUUCUUGGGUUAUUCGAGAUGGCCAUGGCACCCAAAGUGAAACCGUGGUAAGAGUCCUCUCUGGAAAUCAAUUUCAACUUCUUUGGUAGGCCUCUUUCCAAGUAGUAUUGUCUGAUGAUUCUCAAGGCAUUUUCGUUACUCUCUGAACCGGAAGUAGUCCAUAGAGCAGAUUCGAACACACCCUUUGGAGAGUGUUCAAUGUAGAACUUUGAUAAUUCCUCAGCACUCUUGUUUGAGAUCAAACAUGGGUAAGAGUAAGUAGAUUCUCUUGCCGCCUUGUUAAUAAUGUCGUAGACUUCUUCAUCACCCCAACCCAAAGCACCAACAGCAGCACCUGUAAUCGCAUCUAAGAUGUUUUUGUGCACGACACCAUCUCUUUCGAUGUCGACACGUACACCUUUACCACCAACAACUUGAGAACCUGUCUUAUCAACUGUUGCUUGGAAAAGGUAUGAAGUGUUUGGAGUUUCUAAUGUAACUGUCAU